CGGAGUAUAGCGCAGCCCGGUAGCGCACCUGCUUCGGGAGCAGGGGGUCGCAGGUUCGAAUCCUGCUACUCCGACCA
RNAcentral lists this transfer RNA (77 nucleotides) under Afipia carboxydohydrogena. Its description in RNAcentral is "[Pseudomonas] carboxydohydrogena tRNA-Pro". It matches the Rfam family "tRNA". Rfam says of the family: Transfer RNA (tRNA) molecules are approximately 80 nucleotides in length. Their secondary structure includes four short double-helical elements and three loops (D, anti-codon, and T loops). RNAcentral also lists the same sequence under 6 other names. The record is from RNAcentral. Lineage: Bacteria; Pseudomonadati; Pseudomonadota; Alphaproteobacteria; Hyphomicrobiales; Nitrobacteraceae.